GCCGCUGUGGCGGAAUUGGUAGACGCGCUGGUCUUAGGAACCAGUUCCCAUUGGGAGUGGAGGUUCGAUUCCUCUCGGCGGCA
RNAcentral lists this transfer RNA (83 nucleotides) under Candidatus Dojkabacteria bacterium. RNAcentral's name for it is "tRNA-Leu". It matches the Rfam family "tRNA". From Rfam's summary of the family: Transfer RNA (tRNA) molecules are approximately 80 nucleotides in length. Their secondary structure includes four short double-helical elements and three loops (D, anti-codon, and T loops). The record is from RNAcentral.